CGCAUCUGUGCAUGCAGCAUAUCAAUAAGCGGAGGAAAAGAAACUAACAAGGAUUCCCCUAGUAACGGCGAGUGAAGCGGGAAGAGCUCAAAUUUGAAAUCUUAAAGGGUUUCCCUUUACGAAUUGUAGUUUAAAGAAGUGUUUUCUGUUGAGGUUUUGGUAAAAGUUCUUUGGAAUAGGACAUCAUAGAGGGUGAGAAUCCCGUAUUUGACCUUUACUUUCAACUUUGUGAUACACUUUCAAAGAGUCGGAUUGUUUGGGAAUGCAGUCCAAAAUGGGUGGUAAAUUUCAUCUAAAGCUAAAUAUUGGCGAGAGACCGAUAGCGAACAAGUACCGUGAGGGAAAGAUGAAAAGAACUUUGAAAAGAGAGUUAAACAGUACGUGAAAUUGUCAAAAGGGAAGCGUUUGACACCAGUGUUGUUUUUCUGAAAAUCAAUUAAAGAACUGUUUAUGCUAAGCUGUUUAGACUUUAUCAGCUAACUGUUUAGUUUUGAGCUUUUCCUUAAUGCACUUUUCAGUUAACAAGUCAACAUCAAUUUCUUUUGCUGUAAAAAAGCUUGAGGAAGGUGGCUUGAGAUUCGUCUUAAGUGUUUAUAGCCUCUUGCCUAUGCAGUCGGAGAGAUUGAGGUCUGCAGCGUAGAUCCUUCGGGGCUAAAUGCAUUUGUGCUAAGUUAUAGCAUUUUAUAGACAACUUGUUGACUAUGAUUUGUCUUGUAGCUUACUCGCUUAUGUUAUUUUACCUACGCUUAGGAUGUUGAGUCAUCACACAUCUCU
This 774-nucleotide ribosomal RNA is filed under the name uncultured Neocallimastigales. Its description in RNAcentral is "partial large subunit ribosomal RNA". It matches the Rfam family "Eukaryotic large subunit ribosomal RNA", at positions 26 to 614 of the family's 3401-position model. Lineage: Eukaryota; Fungi; Neocallimastigomycota; Neocallimastigomycetes; Neocallimastigales. The record is from RNAcentral.